RNAcentral lists this ribosomal RNA (251 nucleotides) under uncultured bacterium. RNAcentral's name for it is "partial 16S ribosomal RNA". It matches the Rfam family "Bacterial small subunit ribosomal RNA", at positions 523 to 769 of the family's 1533-position model. The record is from RNAcentral.
AUACGUAGGUGGCAAGCGUUGUCCGGAAUUAUUGGGCGUAAAGCGCGCGCAGGUGGUUCCUUAAGUCUGAUGUGAAAGCCCACGGCUCAACCGUGGGAGGGUCAUUAGGAAACGUGGGGAACUUGAGUGCAGAAGAGGAAAGUGGAAUUCCAAGUGUAGCGGUGAAAUGCGUAGAGAUUUGGAGGAACACCAGUGGCGAAGGCGACUUUCUGGUCUGUAACUGACACUGAGGCGACGAAAGCGUGGGGAGC